This 158-nucleotide ribosomal RNA is filed under the name uncultured Dethiosulfovibrio sp. RNAcentral describes it as "partial 16S ribosomal RNA". The record is from RNAcentral. Lineage: Bacteria; Thermotogati; Synergistota; Synergistia; Synergistales; Dethiosulfovibrionaceae.
GAAGGGGCGAGCCUGAUCCAGCGACGCCGCGUGGAGGGAAAGAACGGCUCUUCGGGAUUGUAAACCUCUGUUGCAGGGGAAGAAGGUAAGCUGACGCGCUACCCUGCGAAGGCAAGCCCCGGACAAACGUACGCUGCCAGCCGCCGCGGUACAUACGA